RNAcentral lists this long non-coding RNA (316 nucleotides) under Homo sapiens (human). RNAcentral's name for it is "non-protein coding lnc-PPP1R3A-3:1". The record is from RNAcentral. Lineage: Eukaryota; Metazoa; Chordata; Mammalia; Primates; Hominidae.
CAUGGCUCUGGGCUACCCCUAUGACAGUGGGCCUCAACAAGGGCCACAAGGUGACCAAGAACGUGAGCAAGCCCAGGCACAGCCGCCACCACGGGCGCCUGACCAAGCACACCAAGUUUGCGUGGGACAUGAUUCAGAGGUGUGUGGGUUCGCCCCAUAGGAGCUGCGCGCCAUGGAGUCACUGAAGGUCUCCAAGGACAAACGGGCCCUCAAGUUUCAUCGAGAAAAGGGUGGGGACACAUCCACGCCAAGAGGAAGCAGGAGGAGCUGAGAAACGUUCUGGGCGCCAUGAGGAAAGUCGCUGCCAAGAAAGACU